UACCUGGUUGAUCCUGCCAGUAGUCAUAUGCUUGUCUCAAAGACUAAGGCAUGCAUGUCUAAGUAUAAGUAUUAUACAGCGAAACUGCGAAUGGCUCAUUAAAACAGUAAUAGUUUAUUUGACAAUCUCACUUAUAUGGAUACCCGUAGUAAUUCUAGAGCUAAUACAUGCUGGACUCCUAACUUUUUGGAAAGGAGGUAUUUAUUAGAUAAUAACCAAUAUUCCGUAGGUCUAUCGUGGUGAAUCAUAAUAACUGAUCGAAUCGCACAGCCUUUGGCUGCGAUAAGUCAUUCAAGUUUCUGCCCCAUCAGCUUUAGAUGGUAGUGUAUUGGACUACCAUGGCGUUUACGGGUAACGGAGGAUUAGGGUUCGAUUCCGGAGAGGGAGCCUGAGAAACGGCUACCACAUCUAAGGAAGGCAGCAGGCGCGUAAAUUACCCAAUCCUGACUCAGGGAGGUAGUGACAAGAAAUAACGGACCGGGGCCUUACGGCUUCGGGAUUGCAAUGAGCCGAAUUUACACCCCUUAGCGAAGAUCGAUUGGAGGGCAAGUCUGGUGCCAGCAGCCGCGGUAAUUCCAGCUCCAAUAGC
Molecule: ribosomal RNA, 589 nt
Filed under: uncultured marine eukaryote
Lineage: Eukaryota
Description: SSU rRNA
Rfam family: Eukaryotic small subunit ribosomal RNA
Source: RNAcentral